Molecule: long non-coding RNA, 730 nt
Organism: Megalobrama amblycephala (Wuchang bream)
Lineage: Eukaryota; Metazoa; Chordata; Actinopteri; Cypriniformes; Xenocyprididae
Exons: 3
Source: RefSeq, a predicted model, not a curated record
AGGUCUUACGGGUGUAAAACGGCAUGAGGGUGAGUAAUUAAUAACAGAAUUUUAAUUUUUGGGUGAAAUAACCCUUUAAAGAUUAAUUUGUGCAGCUUGCCUUUGUGCAUAUCUCUCUCUCUCUCUCUCUCUCUCUCUCUCUCUCUCUCUCGAUAUGUGACGUAUAUGAGAAGCAGGCAAGUAUAGACAACAAGCAAUGAGCAAUGCAAGAAUAAUGCUUCAAUUCUUCUUUUGCAGGUGACGAUAGAGGGGAUGACUUUUUAUAUGGAUUGCAGGAAUGCUGGAGAUACAGAACAAACAAGGAAAUUAGGAGACAGAAUCUUGAAGAAAUCAUGGAGGGGUCGUGGAGCAUGGGCGAACCUGGUCCAUGGAGCAAGGGCUGACUUGGACCUUGGAGCAUAGGUGGACCAGGGUCGUGGAGCAUGAGCAAAUUUGGACCUUGGAGCAUGGGUGGACCAGGCCCACGGAGCCUGGUUGGGCUUGGAUCAUGGUGCAGUGGCAGACAUGGGCCGUGGUUCCGUGGCAGACUAUGGAGCAUUGGUGGUCCUGGACUGUGGAGCAGUGGUAAGCCAGGGUCAUGAAUCACUGGAGGGCCAAGCUCCGCAUCUGCUAGAGCUGACUGAUUGCUCCUGUCUGCCUCGCUGCUGGUGGUUUGCGUCUCCGUAUAGCUUUGUUUUCUCUGGUUGCAGAUAAAGUCCUUGUUGUUGGUGAUUUUAAUAUCCAUGUAGAU